AUGGAGAAAUUCCGGGUGCUUCGUUACACUGGAUCCUUCGCGAAAAAAUACAUUAAUUCUGUUUGCCUAUGAUACUUUCUCCCUGGGACACACGGUAUGCAUCAAGCAUACUUCAUAUAUUACUAUGACAUGAACAUAUACCAUGAAUAUUCUUCUAAUAUGCAAAUGACGUAAUACUAUAAAGUAAUAUUAAACAAAGAAACAGAAUCGUUCAAUUACAUGAGGGAUUUCCGUCAAAAGUUUGGAGUUUGGGGAAAUUGAAAAAUGUGACGCAACCGUUGAUAGCGAUGUUUGAGUAUGAGUGUGUCCAACUACAGAAUUGAAUUCAGAGUGUGAUCAACGUUCCUCGCCCGGGACAGCUAAAUCGUAACUCCAAAGGACAUAUUGCUGUGGUGUAAGGGCUGAUUUAUCAAAAUAGGCGAAUUAAGCUCGAAAAAAUUACUUCAAAAAAUAAUGUGUAUAGCAUUGGUUCAGCUCAUAAUAUUGUUGUGGUCGUGGACUAUUUCGAAAUUUCGUAAAGUAUGCUCUUACUUACUACUUCAGCUUCUCUGGACACAAUAGAGUGACGUGCUAAAAGCCGGGUUCAAACGGUCAGGUAAAGAAUGGUGUCGCCGUCGCUGACGUCCGCAUUAAAAAUAAUGUUUGCCGUUUUUUGAGGGAAAUAAAUGGUGUUAUGGUUGAUGAUUAUCUAAGGGGAGUUCAAUUAAUACCCCUGUUGAAACAUGGACCUGAAUCUUUUUAGUAUGGUGAGUGUGACGUUCGUCGCCAACAAAAAUAUUGGUUUAGCGCCAAAUGAUUAUGAGCUUUUUGGAGCUUCAAAAAAGGGAUUCGGGUUUCUUGCAUUUUCCGCAUGACGACGGCAAACCAAAAGUACAGACAAUACUAAUAAACGGUUUAUAUACAGGGUGAACAUUUUGCCUGGAGACACUGGAUAUAUCGAAACAAGAUGUUUUUUGCAAAGAAUAAUUUUUUGCUACCAAUUUACGUAGGUACUUACCUUAUAUUUGUGGCUAGUGGCGUACCUCUGCAUGGUGAAGGAGGGCAUAUUUUUUUAAUGGCAACUACUAAUUUUCGUUACAUAUUCUUAAAGAAUACACUUAGGUAUAUUAAAUAAUCAAAUUUAAAAUAAAAACUCAAAUUAAGAAAAAUAGUUCUGAUUUAUUUCACUAGUUGAAAAAAAACGUUCUUAUUUUGUUAGUUACCUAUGCCAAAACAAUUUAUUGUAUCAUAAAUCAUUAAACAUUUAUAAAUAAAACCUAAUUGCUUAAAAAUUAUUUACAGUGACAUGCGUCUACAAAACUAAGAGGUCCCUGUUUUAAUGAAAAGCAUAAUUUUUCGUGAGGUACUAUUAAAGAAUGAAUCUUUUUUAUAUGACAACAUAAAAAACAUGCUCAAAUUAGUAAAUUUAUAAAAUUAAUUAACACAAUUAUCUUCCUUAUUAUUUGAGUUUUUCUCUUAAAUGUGAUUAUAUUUAUUAAUAUAAAACAAAAAAAUCUCUUUAAUUAUAUGCAAUAAUGUGUAAUGAAAGCUAGUAAUUUCCAUUAAAAAAAAUAUUCUCCCCUAGCUAGACCAUGCAGAAGUACUACACACCACUGAUCACAAGGUACGUAGAUUCAUAGUAAUUUUUUAUGAUUUUGGAUGCCAUGAAAAGCUUCUGUUAGAAAAAUGUUGUUUUGAAGAUAUAUCCAGUGUUUCAGACAAAAUGUUCGCCCUGUAUACCUAGUUCUACGAAAGUUGUAGAAGUCUCAUACUUGAGUCGGUACGUGUAGACAUGCGAACACACAACAGACUUCAUAUCCGACUUGGCUAGACAAGCCAUAUCGGUCAAUUUGUAGGCGCGUAUGUAGCUGGCUUAACGCAAUGUUUGAAUAUUCACAUACCUAUACACUAUGUCGGAGAUGAUAGAGAGUUACUAUAUGGGCAUUCCAGAAACGGUAAGGGAUACAAAUUGGGUUAAACAAGAGAAAAGUUGGACAAUCAAAGGUCUAAGAAGAUAGCGUUUAGAAAUUGCUGAAAAAAAUUUGGUGUUUGUAAUAAUUUUAAAAAAUCGAAUUUUAAGAACUCUUUUUUCUGGCGUUUAAUAUUUGACCUAGAGCAAAACCAAUGACACUUCUCUAUAGCAACUUUUAAUCUGCAUCUGCCAAAUAAAUUUAAUUAAAUACUUGUAGGGACUUCUUAUCAUUUUUAAUCCAUUCAAAAUACACAUUUUUUAACUGGUUUUAGAAAAGUGCCUGACAUCAAAUAAAAUAAUUAAAAGAUUGCUCAGAGAUGAAAAAGUAUACCUACCUAACACUCUCCAAUUAAGUUGGAUGUGUUUUUUGAAGUAAACAGAAAUAAUUAUUUUAUUACACUCUAAAAUUGGAAAUAAGAAAAGUUGUCAUUUGUAAAGUAAAUGGUCGUUAAAAAAGGCUCUAUAUAUAGUAAAAUGUCACUUAUUUCACUGAAGCGUAAAUUGUGUGCGCAAUGACACCGUAGGUACUUUGUAUCCCUAGAAGGAUAGUAAUCAAUUAAAAAAAGUGGAAUAUAUGGGCGACAUAUAACACGCAGUUUGUCUCUACGCCCAUUGAUCCCAUUGUGAGUGAAUCAAUUUCCACUGUUUGAAUACUACACAAUAGCAUUUAGACAAUCUAUAUUUAUCAAAUCUUUUUUUCAGACCAUCCUAUCGUAUUGAGUGCCAAACAGGUAGACAGCGGGCGUUUGCAGUUGAAUGCUAAUGAUUUUUUUUAAAAAUUGGAAUAAGAGGACCGCUACUUCGUACUGCAAUUUGUUAAUCUUGAAAACAAAAUCCCGUUGUUGUUUCAACCACUGUGUCUGAGGAUGUUUGUAAACAAAUUACUUUAAGAGAUGUACCGAGCCAACAAGAAUGCGAAUUGGGCUCAUUUAUCAGAAAAAUAUAAUACAGUGAGUACUUAUAAUUUCUCCACAACUAAUUUUUGUGUCUAGAAUAAUGUGGCAACUGGCAAUCAUGGGGAGGAUUAGCAAGACCAUCCAUUACACCAAAUACGCGGAUGGGAAGAAAACCUUAAAAGCGCUGCACUGUACAUAUUGGGUAGUAUAAUUUUGCGAAUUUUUUUAGGUUGAAUAAAUAAUAAUUCAGA
Photinus pyralis (common eastern firefly) is the source of this 3098-nucleotide long non-coding RNA. RefSeq lists it as uncharacterized. Lineage: Eukaryota; Metazoa; Arthropoda; Insecta; Coleoptera; Lampyridae. The record is from RefSeq and is a predicted model, not a curated record. The transcript is spliced from 3 exons.